RNAcentral lists this ribosomal RNA (348 nucleotides) under uncultured bacterium. Its description in RNAcentral is "bacterial SSU rRNA". It matches the Rfam family "Bacterial small subunit ribosomal RNA", at positions 28 to 377 of the family's 1533-position model. The record is from RNAcentral.
GACGAACGCUGGCGGCGUGCUUAACACAUGCAAGUCGAGCGGUAAGGCCCCUUCGGGGGUACACGAGCGGCGAACGGGUGAGUAACACGUGGGUGACCUGCCCUCAGCUCUGGGAUAAGCCUGGGAAACUGGGUCUAAUACCGGAUAUGACUCCAUGACGCAUGUCGUGGGGUGGAAAGCCUUGUGCGGCUGGGGAUGGGCCCGCGGCCUAUCAGCUUGUUGGUGGGGUGAUGGCCUACCAAGGCGACGACGGGUAGCCGGCCUGAGAGGGCGACCGGCCACACUGGGACUGAGACACGGCCCAGACUCCUACGGGAGGCAGCAGUGGGGAAUCUUGCGCAAUGGGCG